GACGAACGCUGGCGGCGCGCUUAACACAUGCAAGUCGGACGGAAAGGCCUGCUUUCCCUUGUGGAUUGCGGGUACUCGAGUGGCGAACGGGUGAGUAACACGUGAGUGAUCUGCCCCCAACUUGGGUAUAAGCCUGGGAAACUGGGUCUAAUUCCCGAUAGGACUGCAGGGUGGUGCCUGUGGUGGAAAACGAUUUUCUAGUGGUUGGGGAUGAGCUCGCGGCCUAUCAGCUUGUUGGUGGGGUAAUGGCCUACCAAGGCGGCGACGGGUAGCCGGCCUGGGAGGGUGGACGGCCACAUUGGGACUGAGAUACGGCCCAGACUCCUACGGGAGGCAGCAGUGGGGAAUAUUGCACAAUGGGCGGAAGCCUGAUGCAGCGACGCCGCGUGGGGGAUGACGGCCUUCGGGUUGUAAACUCCUUUCGACCGCGAGGAAGCCACCUGGUUGGAAGGGUGGUGACGGUAGUGGUAGAAGAAGCACCGGCUAACUACGUG
RNAcentral lists this ribosomal RNA (494 nucleotides) under uncultured bacterium. RNAcentral's name for it is "partial 16S ribosomal RNA". It matches the Rfam family "Bacterial small subunit ribosomal RNA", at positions 28 to 507 of the family's 1533-position model. The record is from RNAcentral.